CCUACGGGAGGCAGCAGUGAGGAAUAUUGGUCAAUGGACGAGAGUCUGAACCAGCCAAGUAGCGUGAAGGAUGACUGCCCUAUGGGUUGUAAACUUCUUUUAUAUGGGAAUAAAACGUUCCACGUGUGGGAUUUUGUAUGUACCAUAUGAAUAAGGAUCGGCUAACUCCGUGCCAGCAGCCGCGGUAAUACGGAGGAUCCGAGCGUUAUCCGGAUUUAUUGGGUUUAAAGGGAGCGUAGGUGGAUUGUUAAGUCAGUUGUGAAAGUUUGCGGCUCAACCGUAAAAUUGCAGUUGAAACUGGCAGUCUUGAGUACAGUAGAGGUGGGCGGAAUUCGUGGUGUAGCGGUGAAAUGCUCAGAUAUCACGAAGAACUCCGAUUGCGAAGGCAGUUCACUGGACUGCAACUGACACUGAGGCUCGAAAGUGUGGGUAUCAAACAGGAUUAGAUACCCCUGUAGUC
This 460-nucleotide ribosomal RNA is filed under the name uncultured bacterium. Its description in RNAcentral is "partial 16S ribosomal RNA". It matches the Rfam family "Bacterial small subunit ribosomal RNA", at positions 338 to 795 of the family's 1533-position model. The record is from RNAcentral.